GGCCUCUUAGCUCAGUAGUAGAGCGACAGGUCCCGGUUCUGGUAGUGCACGAUCACUAAUCGUCCGAUUCCUGUAGGUCGCGGGUUCAAUCCCCGUAGGGGUCU
This 104-nucleotide transfer RNA is filed under the name Pseudozyma flocculosa. It matches the Rfam family "tRNA". Rfam says of the family: Transfer RNA (tRNA) molecules are approximately 80 nucleotides in length. Their secondary structure includes four short double-helical elements and three loops (D, anti-codon, and T loops). Further hydrogen bonds mediate the characteristic L-shaped molecular structure. tRNAs have two regions of fundamental functional importance: the anti-codon, which is responsible for specific mRNA codon recognition, and the 3' end, to which the tRNAs corresponding amino acid is attached (by aminoacyl-tRNA synthetases). tRNAs cope with the degeneracy of the genetic code in two manners: having more than one tRNA (with a specific anti-codon) for a particular amino acid; and 'wobble' base-pairing, i.e. permitting non-standard base-pairing at the 3rd anti-codon position. RNAcentral also lists the same sequence under 1 other name. The record is from Rfam by way of RNAcentral. Lineage: Eukaryota; Fungi; Basidiomycota; Ustilaginomycetes; Ustilaginales; Ustilaginaceae.